AAAAAUUACCACAAAAUUCUUCAGUAUAUAUAUUAACUUAAUUAACACGAGAAGUUAAUUACUUUACAAAAUUCUAUACGAGUAAAUUAAAGAAGGGUAACAGCUAGGAUCUUUUCAAAUUCACUACAACAUCCCAAGUUGUAUGGUGAUCAUGAACAAAUCAACUAUAAUUUAAGCUCAAGCUGUUUCGAUGAUUGGCCUUCUACUUCUAGGUCAAUAAUAAUGGGAUUGCUUUCUUCAUAUGGUCUAGGACGAGCAGGUGAUGAGGGGUUGUUUAAUUGAUAUGGUGCCUUUGAUGCUACCCUAUCUUUCCUCUUCUCAAAGAACCGAUGCAGUGAAGCUCUUCUAGCAAUUGGCAAAUCUGCAAGAACACAAGAACAAAAAAAAAGUCGUUACAAAGGAAAAAAAAAUUAUACAGUUUCAAGACCUUACAGACUAGAGACGACUGCAAUAUCACACUGAAAUCUAAUUUAAUGAACAAGUAAUGUUAAAUUUAUAUAUAUUUAGAGCAGGGUAUAGAAAUAUCAACCUGAACCAUUAGCCUGAGUUUGCAAUCGAAGUCCUUCUCGAGCAUUAUUAUUGGAGGCAAUGGAAUUAGUUUUAUCCAUGGCAGAAGUAGAAGCAGUCGUAGUAAAGCCGUUUUUAGAAUUGGAGGUUCCUUUGCUUGCUAAAGCCAUGAUCUCCUUUGCCUUAUCAGCAGGAAAAUCGUCAUACACUAUCACCUGGCCCGCGUAAAAUAUUGUCAGUUGGGCAGUUCCAGGUUCUUCUCUGGAGGAUUUCCUCAAAUCUGCAGGCUUGUUAGCAAUGGAGUCCUCCUCGAUAGGAUUUGGAGAAGCAAAACCAACAAAUUGUGGGAAAAAAUCCAUGGGUUUUAUAUUUGCAGAUAGCACAGAGUUUUGCCUUGAAAUCUCAGCAGAAAUUUCAAUGUUAGACAGUAGAUUCAAUGUUGUUGUUGGUGGCCUAGAUGCUUCAGGACCUUUAGCUUCAAGCUUUCCAUUAAUUCCGAGGCUAAGAUCUCUAAAGCUUCCUCUUUCCUUCAAAUACUGGCUCAGAAGAUUGCAUGUCUGAGCAAAAUUAGAUUUCUCCGGUGCUGCCUUGCCGGAUGACUUAUUCUGGACCAAGUUCGCCAUAUCGCUCAGAAUUAUUUUUCUCAUAGAUCUUGAGAGAACUGAAAAGUAUACGUAAUUUUGUUGAUGAGAAAGUUGAUUUCAGUGAAGUUUUCUUGGGAAUGGAAAUGAAGAAACAAUGGAUGGUGGCUGUUAGCUUAGGACAGGGAAGAAUAUAUAUGAGGGAGUUGGGUUCUUCAGAGCAUGUUCUUUGAACCUGAUUAGUCCACGAGCUGUAGCAGACUAGCCG
RNAcentral lists this unclassified non-coding RNA (1356 nucleotides) under Hevea brasiliensis (rubber tree). Lineage: Eukaryota; Viridiplantae; Streptophyta; Magnoliopsida; Malpighiales; Euphorbiaceae. The record is from RNAcentral.